UGGGUGACCUACCUUCGAAUGGGGGAUAACGUCCCGAAAGGGACGCUAAUAUCGCAUAACAUCCUGUCCUUGAACGGAUGGAGAUCAAAGCCGGGGAUCGCAAGACCUGGCGUUUGAAGAGGGGCCCGCGUCCGAUUAGCUAGUUGGUGAGGUAACGGCUCACCAAGGCGACGAUCGGUAGCCGGCCUGAGAGGGCGGACGGCCACACUGGGACUGAGACACGGCCCAGACUCCGUACGGGAGNAG
This 246-nucleotide ribosomal RNA is filed under the name uncultured bacterium. RNAcentral describes it as "partial 16S ribosomal RNA". It matches the Rfam family "Bacterial small subunit ribosomal RNA", at positions 118 to 347 of the family's 1533-position model. The record is from RNAcentral.